Non-coding RNA from Acanthosepion pharaonis, 111 nucleotides. NCBI's taxonomy places the organism in Eukaryota, Metazoa, Mollusca, Cephalopoda, Sepiida, Sepiidae. The record is from the annotation of a GenBank genome assembly.
UGCAUCCAUAUCACGUGGAAACACUGGUUCUCAUCCGAUAUCUAAAGUUAAGCAGCGUUGAACCUGGUCAGUAUGUAGAUCGGUGACUGCUGGGAAUACCAGGUGCUGUAA